Small nucleolar RNA from Drosophila sulfurigaster albostrigata, 83 nucleotides. The record is from RefSeq and is a predicted model, not a curated record. Lineage: Eukaryota; Metazoa; Arthropoda; Insecta; Diptera; Drosophilidae.
UAUAUAAUGAUGAAAAUCUCAUACCCAAUUCAGAGAAAUCAUGUUGAAAUCUAUUUAACAUGCAUCACCAUCUGAUUUAAUAA